CUGGAUUAGCUGCUGGAUUAGCUCUUCGAUUAACAAUUUGCUGGAGGCUAUUCAAAUUAGCCACACCGUGGGAUGUAAGGAGCUCUCUGAUUGGUUGGUCGGACACAGGCUGUCUGCCAGCCUGGAUUUUUCUAGCUCAUAGCUUCUCCCUGCUAGGAAGCGUGUGUGCUUGUACAAAGGCCGUUCAGCGUCGGGAUUUACACUCGGCUCGACACGGAUAAGUGAAGAAUGAAGGGACCCUGCAGCGAAACGGAGAGCCAACCUCUGACUGAAUGCCUGUCUACACAUUCUGACCACCUGUUGAAGGGCUGUUUGAUGACGAUUUGGACUCCUCUGGGAGAUGAGGACACACCCACAUCUGUUCCAUACUGCAGCCAUUGAUGGUGUUACAGCUCUGAGUCAGCUUUGGGCCAUCAGACGCACACACUGGAAAACCAGCACCUGGACUUCAUGCAGGAGAGACGGCCUCAGUGAUAUAGGUCCAGAUUAAAACACAGAGGAGACCGGGCAUUUGCUGUGGCUUCCUCCGAACUUUGGAAUACAUUGCCUUUGCAUAUCAGAUCCUCCCCAACACUGGAUACUUUUAAGUCAUCUAAAGACCCAUUUUUAUUCUCUGGCUUUUGAUUCAUCAUGAGUUUGUUACUAUUAUUCCUUUUUAUGAUUUUAUUCUCUUCUAAAACACUAUUGUUUUUUUUUUGUUGUUGUUUAUUGCCUUGCCCAUUGUAUUGUACAGUACUUUGGUCAACACUUGUUGUUUUAAGUGCUAUAUAAAUAAAUUUGAACUUGAACUUCACAAAGUGUUCUCCAGGCGUCCUCAUAGAUAUCCAAAGCUUUUCUUUGGAUGGAUGCCUUUUGUUUCAUUCUC
This is a long non-coding RNA of Oreochromis aureus, 865 nucleotides long. Lineage: Eukaryota; Metazoa; Chordata; Actinopteri; Cichliformes; Cichlidae. The record is from Ensembl.